Molecule: ribosomal RNA, 433 nt
Filed under: uncultured bacterium
Lineage: Bacteria
Description: partial 16S ribosomal RNA
Rfam family: Bacterial small subunit ribosomal RNA
Source: RNAcentral
AACGAACGCUGGCGGCAUGCCUAACACAUGCAAGUCGAACGAGACCUUCGGGUCUAGUGGCGCACGGGUGCGUAACGCGUGGGAACCUGCCCUUAGGUUCGGAAUAACUCCCCGACAGGGGUGCUAAUACCGGAUAAUGUCUUCGGACCAAAGAUUUAUCGCCUUGGGAUGGGCCCGCGUUGGAUUAGCUAGUUGGUAGGGUAAAAGCCUAUCAAGGCGACGAUCCAUAGCUGGUCUGAGAGGAUGAUCAGCCACACUGGGACUGAGACACGGCCCAGACUCCUACGGGAGGCAGCAGUGGGGAAUAUUGGAAAAUGGGCGAAAGCCUGAUCCAGCAAUGCCGCGUGAGUGAUGAAGGCCUUAGGGUUGUAAAGCUCUUUUAACCGGGAUGAUAAUGACAGUACCGGGAGAAUAAGCUCCGGCUAACUCCGUG